This 508-nucleotide ribosomal RNA is filed under the name uncultured bacterium. Its description in RNAcentral is "bacterial SSU rRNA". It matches the Rfam family "Bacterial small subunit ribosomal RNA", at positions 1 to 507 of the family's 1533-position model. The record is from RNAcentral.
AUUCGUACGACGAGUUUGAUCCUGGCUCAGGAUGAACGCUAGCGGCAGGCCUAACACAUGCAAGUCGAGGGGUAGAGUUCUUCGGGACUUGAGACCGGCGCACGGGUGCGUAACGCGUAUGCAAUCUACCUUAUACAGGGGAAUAGCCCAGAGAAAUUUGGAUUAAUGCCCCAUGGUAUUAUGGAGUGGCAUCACUUUAUAAUUAAAGUUCCAACGGUAUAAGAUGAGCAUGCGUCCCAUUAGUUAGUUGGUAAGGUAACGGCUUACCAAGACAAUGAUGGGUAGGGGUCCUGAGAGGGAGAUCCCCCACACUGGUACUGAGACACGGACCAGACUCCUACGGGAGGCAGCAGUGAGGAAUAUUGGUCAAUGGGCGCAAGCCUGAACCAGCCAUGCCGCGUGCAGGAAGACGGUCCUAUGGAUUGUAAACUGCUUUUAUACAGGAAGAAACCUCCCUACGAGUAGGGACUUGACGGUACUGUAGGAAUAAGGAUCGGCUAACUCCGUG